GCCAAGGCUUUUCAUGCCUUCUGGCGCUUGGUCGUAGAAGAACUCAAGCUUUGCUACUUCUACAAAGGCAUCUGCUAUCCCUGUUAUAGCAAAUUGAGGAAGGAGUAUGAAAAUGGUGAGUGGAACCUGGUCAUUUUGUUUAAAAGUGUGGUUUUCUCUAACGCUUUUCAGUCUCAUUCUUUCAGCAAUACAUGCUAUGACCAUGACAAUGAUUUGCAGCACCAGUCCUACACCCAUUCUUUGCAGCAAUGUGAUCCCUCUAGGGUUUUUGGUGAAUCGACGAGCAAAUGGAACAAAUAAACGGUCAUAGAUGACGAUGGUGAUCAGCAUAAAGAUUGUUAUAAAAGCUGAAAGGCUUGCUGGAGGAAUUUGAAAAUGGGGACCCAUGCUCCUGUCGAGGGUGGCGCCUUGUUUGAUGAAUAAUGUUCCCACUUGUGCAACAAGUGCACUUGGUAUGAAUGACACUGAUAGAAUGGGCAUCAUUUUAAUCAUUUGCUUUGUUUCUUCAACUUGAGUAACUGUGCAUAGAGUCCAUGCUUCGCUUGUAGGACUCCGAAC
Molecule: long non-coding RNA, 558 nt
Filed under: Cucumis sativus (cucumber)
Lineage: Eukaryota; Viridiplantae; Streptophyta; Magnoliopsida; Cucurbitales; Cucurbitaceae
Description: long non-coding RNA (CSAT_LNC001159)
Source: RNAcentral